Molecule: ribosomal RNA, 748 nt
Filed under: uncultured Oribacterium sp.
Lineage: Bacteria; Bacillati; Bacillota; Clostridia; Lachnospirales; Lachnospiraceae
Description: bacterial SSU rRNA
Rfam family: Bacterial small subunit ribosomal RNA
Source: RNAcentral
GAUGAACGCUGGCGGCGUGCCUAACACAUGCAAGUCGAACGGAGUGCCCAGGAGGAAGUUUUCGGAUGGAAUUCGAAGGCACUUAGUGGCGGACGGGUGAGUAACACGUGGGUAACCUGCCUCAUAGAGGGGGAUAACAGAGAGAAAUCACUGCUAAUACCGCAUAAGCACACACUGCCGCAUGGCAGGGGGUGAAAAGAGAUAUCGCUAUGAGAUGGACCCGCGACUGAUUAGCCGGUUGGUAAGGUAAGGGCUUACCAAAGCAACGAUCAGUAGCCGAUCUGAGAGGAUGAACGGCCACAUUGGGACUGAGACACGGCCCAAACUCCUACGGGAGGCAGCAGUGGGGGAUAUUGCACAAUGGGGGGAACCCUGAUGCAGCGACGCCGCGUGAGUGAAGAAGUAUUUCGGUAUGUAAAGCUCUAUCAGCAGGGAAGAUAAUGACAGUACCUGAAUAAGAAGCCCCGGCUAACUACGUGCCAGCAGCCGCGGUAAUACGUAGGGGGCAAGCGUUAUCCGGAUUUACUGGGUGUAAAGGGAGCGUAGACGGAACGGCAAGUCUGAAGUGAAAACCCGUGGCUCAACCGCGGGACUGCUUUGGAAACUGUCGAUCUAGAGUGUCGGAGAGGUAAGUGGAAUUCCUGGUGUAGCGGUGAAAUGCGUAGAUAUCAGGAAGAACACCGGAGGCGAAGGCGGCUUACUGGACGAAGACUGACGUUGAGGCUCGAAAGCGUGGGAAGCAAACAGG